GUGCUCACUUUAGUAGCACCUAUAUUAAAAUUAGAAUGAUACAGAGAAAAUUAGCAUGGCCCCUGUGAAAGGAUGACAUGCAAAUUCAUGAAGCGUUCUAUAUUUUU
Small nuclear RNA from Pongo abelii (Sumatran orangutan), 107 nucleotides. NCBI's taxonomy places the organism in Eukaryota, Metazoa, Chordata, Mammalia, Primates, Hominidae. The record is from Ensembl.